This 444-nucleotide ribosomal RNA is filed under the name uncultured archaeon. RNAcentral describes it as "bacterial SSU rRNA". It matches the Rfam family "Archaeal small subunit ribosomal RNA", at positions 576 to 1019 of the family's 1478-position model. The record is from RNAcentral.
UAGGGAUACUGCUAGACUUGAGGUCGAGAGAGGUCGGAGGUACUCCUGGGGUAGCGGUGAAGUGCUAUAAUCCUGGGGGGACCACCAGUGGCGAAAGCGUCCGACCAGAGCGAGCCUGACGGUAAGGGACGAAAGCCAGGGGAGCGAACGGGAUUAGAUACCCCGGUAGUCCUGGCCGUAAACGCUGUGGGCUAGGUGUUGCAUGCUCUACGAGGGCAUGCAGUGCCGAAGAGAAGUUGAUAAGCCUACCGCCUGGGAAGUACUAUCGCAAGAUAGAAACUUAAAGGAAUUGGCGGGGGAGCACCACAAGGGGUGAAGUCUGCGGUUCAAUUGGAUUCAACGCCGGAAAUCUCACUGGAGGCGACGGCAGAAUGAUGGCCAAGCUGAUGACUUUGCUUGACGAGCCGAGAGGAGGUGCAUGGCCGUCGUCAGCUCGUACCGUAA